Molecule: long non-coding RNA, 505 nt
Organism: Anas platyrhynchos (mallard)
Lineage: Eukaryota; Metazoa; Chordata; Aves; Anseriformes; Anatidae
Source: RefSeq, a predicted model, not a curated record
CAUGGAAAUACAGAGUGUUAUCACAUGUGGAGGGGGAGAGGGAAUGUCAGUCCCAGUAGAAGCACCCACUGAAGAGGGACAACUUAGCACUGAACACUUUAAGGAUGAUACAUCAUCUGUUUGGAAGCGAGCCAUAAGUAAAUAAAACACAUAAAGGAGUAACACAGCCCUGCAGAGCCAUGAGGGUGGAUCCAGAAGGUGGGACUCCAGUGAAUUCCAUGCCAAAAUGUUGACAGCAUCUGAUGCACGCGAGAGGGGUUCCACACCAAACAGGGAACAAGCCCUUACCUGGAGAUCCUGAGGAGAGCCUGCAGCAGCCUUGCUUCGGCUGGAGUGUGGAUGGCACUGAGAAGAUUCUCCAAACUUCUGGAGCAGGGUUGGUCUUUGUGAGCCUGCAGCAAUUGAUGUGCAAUAGUGUUUGUCACGUGAGGAAAAUGUACAGCACCACUCCUUUCACAUCUGUUUCACUUGUGAUAAUAAAAAUAAGAUUCACUAAUGGGAAAAA